UUACGGGAGGCAGCAGUGGGGAAUCUUGCACAAUGGGGGAAACCCUGAUGCAGCGACGCCUCGUGAGUGAUGAAGCCCUUCGGGGUGUAAAGCUCUUUCGACAGGAACGAUAAUGACGGUACCUGGAGAAGAAGCUGCGGCUAACUACGUGCCAGCAGCCGCGGUAAUACGUAGGCAGCAAGCGUUGUUCGGAAUUACUGGGCGUAAAGGGUGUGUAGGUGGUGUCGUAAGUUUGGUGUGAAAUCUCCUGGCUUAACUGGGAGGGUGCGCCGAAGACUGCGAUGCUAGAGUAUGGGAGAGGUAAGCGGAAUUCCUGGUGUAGCGGUGAAAUGCGUAGAUAUCAGGAGGAACACCUGUGGUGUAGACGGCUUACUGGACCAUCACUGACACUGAAACACGAAAGCGUGGGUAGCAAACAGGAUUAGAUACCCCGGUAGG
This 438-nucleotide ribosomal RNA is filed under the name uncultured bacterium. RNAcentral's name for it is "bacterial SSU rRNA". It matches the Rfam family "Bacterial small subunit ribosomal RNA", at positions 339 to 794 of the family's 1533-position model. The record is from RNAcentral.